Molecule: ribosomal RNA, 1497 nt
Filed under: Pseudorhabdosynochus sp. 4 BTD-2009
Lineage: Eukaryota; Metazoa; Platyhelminthes; Monogenea; Dactylogyridea; Diplectanidae
Description: SSU rRNA
Rfam family: Eukaryotic small subunit ribosomal RNA
Source: RNAcentral
CGCGAAUGGCUCAUUAAAUCAGCUAUGAUUCCUUGGAUCAUAAUACUACAUGGAUAACUGUAGUAAUUCUAGAGCUAAUACAUGCCUCGAUGCCCUGAACCGUAAGGUGAGGGGUGCAUUUAUUAGAUCGCAAACCAAACGGGCUUGCCCGUGGCUUGUGAUGACUCUGGAUAACUUUGUAUGAUCGCAGUCGGCCCUGUUGUCGGCGACGGAUUCAUUAAAUGUCUGCCCUAUCAACUUUAGAUGGUAGGUGAUAUGCCUACCAUGGUGAUGACGGGUAACGGGGAAUCAGGGUUCGAUUCCGGAGAGGGAGCCUGAGAAACGGCUACCACAUCCAAGGAAGGCAGCAGGCGCGCAAAUUACCCACUCUCUGAACGAGGAGGUAGUGAAGAUAAAUAUCGAUACAGGACUCUAUGAGGCUCUGUAAUCGAAAUGAGUGCAUUUUAAAUCCUACAACGAGGAUCUACUGGAGGGCAAGUCUGGUGCCAGCAGCCGCGGUAAUUCCAGCUCCAGAAGCGUAUAUUAAAGUUGCUGCAGUUAAAAAGCUCGUAGUUGGAUCUGGACUAUGAUGUGAUUGCCAUGUCCGGGGUUGGGCUGCCUUAAACAGUGGCCUAGCUCAGGCUGGUUGUUUUGCAUCUAGUCUCAUAGCUGUGUCUGUGUGGCCUUCACCGGCCGCAUGGAUGAUGUUGGGUGCCUGGUACUUACCCCCUUUUCGGGGGUUUGUCCGGCCCAGUGUUAUGUUCUGUGUAUGCCCUUAACCGGGUGACCAGGACGGACAGCAUGUUUACUUUGAACAAAUUUGAGUGCUCAAAGCAGGCCGAUUGUUGCCUGAAAAGUCUUGCAUGGAAUAAUGGAAUAGGACUUCGGUCCUAUUUUGUUGGUUUGAUAGAACCGAAGUAAUGAUAAAGAGAGACAGACGGGGGCAUUUGUAUGGCGGCGCGAGAGGUGAAAUUCGUGGACCGUCGCCAGACAACCUAAAGCGAAAGCAUCUGCCAAGUAUGUUUUCAUUUACCAGGAGCGAAAGUCAGAGGUUCGAAGACGAUCAGAUACCGUCCUAGUUCUGACCAUAAACGAUGCCAACUGACGAUCCGUGUGUACUCUAUCAUCAUGAGUCCACGGGCAGUCUCCGGGAAACCUGUAAGUCUAUGGGUUCCGGGGAAAGUAUGGUUGCAAAGCUGAAACUUAAAGGAAUUGACGGAAGGGCACCACCAGGAGUGGAGCUUGCGGCUUAAUUUGACUCAACACGGGAAAACUCACCCGACCCGGACACUGUGAGGAUUGACAGAUUAAAAGCUCUUUCUUGAUUCGGUGGCUAGUGGUGCAUGGCCGUUCUUAGUUCGUGGUAUGAGUUGUCUGGUUAAUUCCGAUAACGAACGAGACUCUAACCUGCUAAAUAGUAAACUUGCAGCAUUAUGGAGACCUUCACGGGUGGGCUUCGUGCUUGCCCGUGACCUUCGUAAGCAAGUGAGACUUCUUAGAGGGACUGGUGUCCUACAG